This 372-nucleotide ribosomal RNA is filed under the name uncultured organism. RNAcentral's name for it is "partial 16S ribosomal RNA". It matches the Rfam family "Bacterial small subunit ribosomal RNA", at positions 527 to 896 of the family's 1533-position model. The record is from RNAcentral.
GUAGGUGGCAAGCGUUGUCCGGAAUUAUUGGGCGUAAAGCGCGCGCAGGUGGGUUCUUUAAGUCUGAUGUGAAAGCCCCCGGGCUCAACCGGGGAGGGUCAUUGGAAACUGGGGAACUUGAGUGCAGGAGAGGAAAGUGGAAUUCCACGUGUAGCGGUGAAAUGCGUAGAUAUGUGAGGAACACCAGUGGCGAAGGCGACUUUCUGGCCUGUAACUGACACUGAGGCGCGAAAGCGUGGGGAGCAAACAGGAUUAGAUACCCUGGUAGUCCACGCCGUAAACGAUGAGUGCUAAGUGUUGGGGGGUUUCCGCCCCUCAGUGCUGCAGCUAACGCAUUAAGCACUCCGCCUGGGGAGUACGGUCGCAAGACUG